AUUAAAAGUAAACUAUAGAAAACUCAGGCAUUUUUUAUUAUUACGAAUUAGGUAGCAAUCAACAGCAACGGUUCUUCUUGUUCUUGCGAGCCGUGGCUGUUGGCGACUAUCACCCAACGACUCCCUCUCUUGUGCCGCCAUGAAUGAACCUCCAUUGUAUCCGCCAAUUGAUCCAACGACCUUCGACCUUAUUGUCGUCGGAACCGGCCUACCAGAGUCCGUGAUCGCCGCCGCAGCCUCAGCUUCCGGAAAAUCCGUACUUCACAUCGACCAAAACAACUUCUAUGGAUCCCACUUCGCCUCUCUCACUAUCCCACAACUCACCUCUUUCCUCAAUGCCAAUUCUACUUCUCUACCGCCGCCGUCCUCCUCGAACACCGUAACCAGCAGCGACGAUUUCUCCGUCGAAAAUCUUACCACCCGGCCUCUCUAUUCAGACGUCGAGAUUUCCUCAUUUUCCAAUCAACUUUUGGAAGAAAACUCUAAUAAGUUCUAUCUCGAUUUAUCGGGACCUAGGGUUUUAUUUUGUGCGGAUAGGUCCAUCGAUUUUUUGAUAAAGUCUGGAGCAAGUCAGUACGUGGAAUUCAAGAGCAUAGAUGCGAGCUUCUUGGGCGAUGAGAAUGGGAAGCUGUGGAAUGUGCCGGAUUCUAGGGCUGCUAUAUUUAAAGACAAGAGCUUGAGCUUGAUGGAGAAGAAUCGGUUGAUGAGGUUCUUUAAGCUGGUGCAGGGACAAUUGGCUGCUUCUUCUGGCGGAGAUCGAGUAAAUGAGAAUAAAGAAGAAGAACAAGAAUCAGAGAGUCCGGGAAUUUCAGAGGAAGAUUUGGAGCGUCCAUUUGUUGAGUUCAUGACUAAAAUGAAGUUGCCUUCCAAGAUUAAAUCGUACAGACUGCUGUCAUCUUUAUCUAUCUGAUAGUGAGAGUUAUUUUUAUAGCUGUUGCCAUUUUUAUAUUCUUCUAUAUCCUAAUCCUCAAUGAAUUUUAGUGAAAUUGCGGCUUUUCUUAUGUCCAAACUAAAAUUUUUGGGUUUGUUUAUCGAAUUCCCUAUUUGAUGAGAAUUACUAAUGCAAUCCUACUUUCUCCGUCUUUGUCUGCAACAGAUUCUUUCAACUAGCUAUUAACAAUCAGAAAAGAUGCUGAAGAAUGUCUUUACUUUUUAACAUUUACUGGAUGAGGUCUUUCUAUUUGUUUUUGGUGAUCCAUUGUCCUUCUACUCUUGAUGAACAUGUGUUCAAAAUAUUAUUGGGAUUGCUCUGUUUCUCGUAGAUUAGCUGUUAGCUAUUUGUACAAUUCAGUCUGGUGAUUCAUAUUUUAUCCAUCUUGCUCUCUGCAGGAUUAUCCUGUAUGCUAUAGCCAUGGCAGAUUUUGACCAGGACAACAAAGAGGAAUGUAAAGAUCUACUCAAGACAAAAGAUGGAAUAGCUCGCUUGGCUUUGUAUCAAUCGUCAAUUGGCAGGUUGACAAAUGCGCCUGGGGCUUUUAUUUAUCCUAUUUAUGGUCAAGGGGAACUGCCACAAGCCUUUUGUCGUCGUGCUGCAGUGAAAGGCUGUAUUUAUGUUUUGCGAAUGCCAGUGACUUCUUUGCUUUUGGAAAAGGUGCUGAAAUAUGCUAAUGGUUGCUUAACAAAUGGAUAAUAUUGAAUUAGUGUAGCUACUUUUAAGAUAUAAAUCUCUUUGCUUCAAAAUUUUUCAGAGUAGUGGCGUGUACAAAGGUAUAAGAUUGGCUUCUGGUCAGGACAUAUUUAGUCAGAAGCUAGUUCUGGAUCCAUCCUUAACAGUUCCAUCACCCUCAGCUUCUCCAUUGGAUUCUUUCCAUGAAAGUUUUCAAUUUCUAUGCAUGAGAGAUGUUAAACAGAAGGUGGCUAGGGGAAUAUGCAUUAUGAGAAGUUCCUUGAAGCCAGACAUAUCAAAUUUCCUGGUUGUAUAUCCUCCUCAAUGUAAGAUUAAUUUCUAGUUUUGCUCUUGUAGUUUGGUGCAGUUUUGAAUAAAAGAAAUAUCUUCUCUUUUUUAAUUGUUCUCUUUCUUAGCAUUGUAUCCUGAGCAGAUUACAUCAAUUCGAGCUCUCCAGAUUAGUGGCAAUUCAGCUGUUUGUCCGCGGGGCAUGUUUGUGCUGUAUCUGUCGGCUUUGUCUGAUGAUGCUCAUCAGGGGAAGAAGUCACUAAAUGCAGCUAUGAAUGCCCUUUUCACUUGUCCUGAUUCUGUGAAUCUUGAAAGUAGUUGUGCAGAUCAAAAUGAAAAUGCAGAACUAAAACCCACUCUACUUUGGAGCGCAUUGUAUAUUCAGGAGCUUGCAACGGUUUGCUUCUUGACUUUUAUUGGCUUAUAUUUUCCUUGGUGUUUAUUGAGCAUGAUAGUCAUAGAUAUAAUUUUCUAUGGGGUGAAGCUUAAUGGUUACUAGGAUUCUGAUAUACCUAAGUGUCUGUUAAGUGUUUGUUGGGUAGCAUACUUGUCAGGAUUACAGUUGCUAGUUAGUUGGAAAUUGUUGUUUCUUCUUUACUUGUGUAUUUGGAACUUGUCAAAGCAACAUCAACAACUUGUCUAACAGAGCUGAAUGGCGAAAAUGAUCCAUAUAACUGACUCCAAAUAAUUUGGGAUUAAGUAUUAGUAGUUGUCAGUUGGACUGAUGUAAUUGGACUUCUGGUUAUGCAACUUGCUGGUUCCUAGUUUUAUCCUCCUAGGAUCUGCAAUAUAAUUUGAUAACCUAGAAUUGUCAUUAUUUAUGAUGCACUUAUUUUUACCAUUUUCUUCACCUUUUGCAAUGUGCUCUACAUGGUUGGAGCUCUCAGUAUUUUUGGGGUAGGGGGAGAGUGUUGGACUGACUAAUGCCUCAUUUUUUUCAGUGCCUCUAGUAAUUCUGGGGAUUCAUAUACUGAUUUGUAUUAAUUAUUAGUUGAUCUUUUACUACCUUUACAAAAUUAUUUUGGGGCCAACACGACAGCAGAACUUGUAAAUUGCGCAAGAGAAACUACUUGUCUGAGUGUGUUAUAUAUAUAUAUAAACUUUGCUAAAGUCCAAGAAGACUUUAUAGAUAUGGAUGCAUUGAAACUGAUAUGGGUUUGACUUAGAUCGAUCUUGCUAUAUUUUA
RNAcentral lists this unclassified non-coding RNA (3080 nucleotides) under Hevea brasiliensis (rubber tree). The record is from RNAcentral. Lineage: Eukaryota; Viridiplantae; Streptophyta; Magnoliopsida; Malpighiales; Euphorbiaceae.